GGGCUGCAGUGGGGAAUUUUGGACAAUGGGGGAAACCCUGAUCCAGCCAUUCCGCGUGAGUGAAGAAGGCCUUCGGGUUGUAAAGCUCUUUCGCAAGGGAAGAAAAGAUAUAGGUGAAUAGCUUAUGUUGAUGACGGUACCUUGACAAGAAGCACCGGCUAACUACGUGCCAGCAGCCGCGGUAAUACGUAGGGUGCAAGCGUUAAUCGGAAUUACUGGGCGUAAAGCGUGCGCAGGCUGUUUUGUAAGUCAGAUGUGAAAUCCCCGAGCUCAACUUGGGAACUGCGUUUGAAACUACAAGACUAGAAUAGGUCAGAGGGGGGUAGAAUUCCACGUGUAGCAGUGAAAUGCGUAGAGAUGUGGAGGAAUACCAAUGGCGAAGGCAGCCCCCUGGGAUCAUAUUGACGCUCAUGCACGAAAGCGUGGGGAGCGAACAGGAUUAGAUACCCUAGUAGUC
This 457-nucleotide ribosomal RNA is filed under the name uncultured Methylotenera sp. RNAcentral's name for it is "bacterial SSU rRNA". It matches the Rfam family "Bacterial small subunit ribosomal RNA", at positions 346 to 795 of the family's 1533-position model. The record is from RNAcentral. Lineage: Bacteria; Pseudomonadati; Pseudomonadota; Betaproteobacteria; Nitrosomonadales; Methylophilaceae.